GUACACGCUGUGACUAGCAUAUCAAUAAGCGGAGGAAAAGAGGGCUAUUACCUACGCUUAGGAUGUUGACACACGCGCGUGCUCGACUCUAUACAUGACUCUGUGCAUAUCAAUAAGCGGAGGAAAAGUCAACUACCUACGCUUAGGAUGUUGACACACGCGCGUGCUCGACUCUAUACAUGACUCUGUGCAUAUCAAUAAGCGGAGGAAAAGGCUGCGGAACUGAACAACCGCUACCUACGCUUAGGAUGUUGACACACGCGCGUGCUCGACUCUAUACAUGACUCUGUGCAUAUCAAUAAGCGGAGGAAAAGCAUAACAUGUAUACCUACGCUUAGGAUGUUGACACACGCGCGUGCUCGACUCUAUACAUGACUCUGUGCAUAUCAAUAAGCGGAGGAAAAGAGGGCUAUUACCUACGCUUAGGAUGUUGACACAUCGCGCGUGCUCGAUGAUAGUCUGUAUACGCUGUGACUAGCAUAUCAAUAAGCGGAGGAAAAGGCGGCGGAGAGUAUUGGUGUGGGCGUACCUACGCUUAGGAUGUUGACGCGCGUGUGUGCGUGAGUCUAUACAUGACUCUGCGCAUAUCAAUAAGCGGAGGAAAAGGGCAGUCUCUUCCAUUGUAUCGGUUACCUACGCUUAGGAUGUUGAUACACGCGCGUGCUCGACUCUAUACAUGACUCUGCGCAUAUCAAUAAGCGGAGGAAAAGGUACCUACGCUUAGGAUGUUGACGCGCGUGUGUGCGUGAGUCUAUACAUGACUCUGUGCAUAUCAAUAAGCGGAGGAAAAGAAACUAACAAGGAUUCCCCUAGUAACGGCGAGUGAAGCGGGAAGAGCUCAAAUUUGAAAUCUUAAAGGGUUUCCCUUUACGAAUUGUAGUUUAAAGAAGUGUUUUCUGUUGAGGUUUUGGUAAAAGUUCUUUGGAAUAGGACAUCAUAGAGGGUGAGAAUCCCGUAUUUGACCUUUACUUUCAACUUUGUGAUACACUUUCAAAGAGUCGGAUUGUUUGGGAAUGCAGUCCAAAAUGGGUGGUAAAUUUCAUCUAAAGCUAAAUAUUGGCGAGAGAUCGAUAGCGAACAAGUACCGUGAGGGAAAGAUGAAAAGAACUUUGAAAAGAGAGUUAAACAGUACGUGAAAUUGUCAAAAGGGAAGCGUUUGACACCAGUGUUGUUUUUCUGAAAAUCAAUUAAAGAACUGUUUAUGCUAAGCUGUUUAGACUUUAUCAGCUAACUGUUUAGUUUUGAGCUUUUCUUUAAUGCACUUUUCAGUUAACAAGUCAACAUCAAUUUCUUUUGCUGUAAAAAAGCUUGAGGAAGGUGGCUUGAGAUUCGUCUUAAGUGUUUAUAGCCUCUUGCCUAUGCAGUCGGAGAGAUUGAGGUCUGCAGCGUAGAUCCUUCGGGGCUAAAUGCAUUUGUGCUAAGUUAUAGCAUUUCUAUAGACAACUUGUUGACUAUGAUUUGUCUUGUAGCUUACUCGCUUAUGUUAUUUUACCUACGCUUAGGAUGUUGAUCUACAGAGCGAGAGU
RNAcentral lists this ribosomal RNA (1526 nucleotides) under uncultured Neocallimastigales. Its description in RNAcentral is "partial large subunit ribosomal RNA". The stretch from base 730 to 1526 matches the Rfam family "Eukaryotic large subunit ribosomal RNA", at positions 1 to 635 of the family's 3401-position model. The record is from RNAcentral. Lineage: Eukaryota; Fungi; Neocallimastigomycota; Neocallimastigomycetes; Neocallimastigales.